UUACCUCUUAUUUAUGUGCAUUUCUGGUAUUUAUUUGGUGUAAUCUUUUAUUCCCUCAUACAUAAUCAUUUAUCAAGGGAAAAAUGUUCAAGGUAUGGAAAUUGUCCACGUUUUUCAGCUCCAGUUAUCCACAUUUUAGUCAAAUUUUCAUUGGUACCACUGUUUUGGGAUUUUUGUCAAGUUUUUGUGUUCCAACUUUUAUGUUAAUAUAUUGAAUUGUAAAAGUGAUUAAUCUCUAAACCUUAUAAAUGCUUUCCAAUUUGCUUUACCAGUGCUUAUUCUAGUGUCUCAAGCCAUCCAAAAGUUAAGAUUUUUUUCUUUCAAAUUCGUCAACCAGUCUUUUUUUUCAUUUCAAUUUCUUGGAAAGAGAAGGCAUUUUCAUCAAACGAAUCAUUACAGGAUUCCUGUGAAUUCUUGGGGAUCAAUAAUGAAAAAAUAAUGACUUCCAAAGUUGUUUAACCACCAAAUGUGCUCUGUGAUUACAAUCAAAUCGUACAGCAACUAUUUUUUGGAUUUUCACUCUUAUUUUUUGAGCAUUGAAACGAACCAAAAUGCUUUUACAUUAACUUUGAAUUGGAAGGAUUGAGCAAAUUUCCAGGAAAGGUUAAUUAACACUCAUCAAGAUAUAAAUCUUUCAUCAGUUGACGAUUAACGAGAAAUUGAAUGGACAAAUGAGCUUCAUUUCAAGAAAUACAAUGAUUCCAUCUGACAGAGUAAAUUAAAUCUAUAUCUCGAGAUAUAAUGUACUACAAGUUUUGAUUGAUUCAAUUACAUCAGAUGUCAAUUUUCAUAUGAUGUUCAACAAAUUCAUAAAGAGCUGUAUUAUUGUCUGGAAAAUUUGCAUAUUGUCAAACAAUUGUGUUGAAAUACGAAUAAUACCAGAUCUAGAAUAUUACAAAGCUUGAAGGGAAAUUUAAUGAUAUUGCUGAUGACAAUGACAGCUAUAAACUACCAUCAUGUUAAUUUCAUUGUAAGCAACUGAUGAACUCAUGGAACCCCCAGGUUUUUCCAUAAUUAUCGUUGGGAAACAAUUUAUCUUCAUGCAAAUUGAUUGGUAUCGGCCAUUCUUUCAUUAUUUCACAUAAUCGAGUUCAAAGGCAAAGCAAAUAUGUGAUGAACCAAGCCAACUAUUCAUCUUUAUUAUCCAAUCGAUUACCGUAUCUGGUCUUUAACCUCUGUGAAAAAAAGUUCAAGUUGGCCAUUGCGUUGAAUGGAUGUAAACAAGAACAAGCAAUUUACCAAGAAAUCUAAGCCAAUUUUAAACGUGGAUCCAGUGAAUCAACUACAAGAAGGAUUACAUGAAACCUUAUGACCCAACAAAAAGCCGUUGCCAAUAGCAAGAAAGGAUAUUAGGGUCAACAAAGUCCAUUUGACCUUAUAGUUGGCAAGAAAAAAAUGAUGAGAUUUUUAUUUGCAACAUGAAAAGUAUCAAUAGCUGAGCAGGAAAAAAAACAGCAAAAUAAAAACUUGCCUACCAAUAGUUAUUACUAGCAACUGAUUAGUUGAUAAUACUUACUAAUAAUCAGUAACACCAUAAUCAUGUGUAAAAACAGUAAGAUCGAGAAACAACAUUAUGUCCUUUUCAAACCUAACCUGAUUGAACAUUGUGUAUUAGUUGUUUUUUUGAUUACAACUCUAAGGGCAGAGAAAAUGAUUCAAUAUAAUGAUGAUGAUUAUGAUAAUAAUAAUGGUCAAUUUAAUAAUAUAAACUCUUAUUUGUAGCUAAUAACGAUCAAUAAUAGAUAGAGUGUCCAAUCAUUUGAAACACUGAUUCUCUAGACGCUUUUUCAACCACAUCUUGAUCUUCAUCUUGAUUAUCAUUAUACUCAUCAUACUCUUCAUCCUCUUCAUCAUCUUUAUCAUCUCCCACGAUAAAACUAAACGUUGAAAGCAACUUAAUGGUCACCAUUAGACAAAAUAUCUGGUAACAAUCGUAGCUACUUUUUUCAAGUUACUGUCAACUGAAGCGUUCAACUUUUAUCUUCAUCUUCUAUUCAUUUUUCAUCUUCAUUGAACUUGGCUUCUUCCCAAAAGCAAACAGCAACAAUAAUAUUAUCAUCAUCAUUCCAAAGUCUCUUCAAAUCUUUUCAAGUCGAUUAGCAUCAUUCCUUUCGCUCUUUUUUUUUUAUAUUUAUUUAUUUUACUACAAAAUAACUUUUCUUUCCUUUCCAUCUUUUUUUUAAUGUGAUUACUUGAAAAUGAAUAACAUAUUUGCCUUGAUACAUUUACAACUCAUUUAACUAUUAUCAUCAUUAAUCAUCAUCAUUAUCAUCGUCAUCAUGUUCACGCAGAGAUAUUGUCAUUGGAAAACAUUGAAAGAGUUGAACACAACAAAUGGAAACAGUCGGUAAAGUUAAACAAAAUUCAACUUUGCAAAGAUGAACAUUUUAAUAUCACAAAAUAAAUAUUGAAUUAUCAUGUCUUUCAGUUACAAUAUUUGAUAUUGAAAUUUCAUCUUACCAUUUAUCAAUCAUUUGUCUAUUAAUUAUUACACUCAGUUCACAUUGACUCAAGCUUAUAAUGAAAAAAGAAACAAAAUCAAAAGAUGAAAUUAUAUUCAAAAUGAUUCUCAAUUCUACUUCAAUUUCUGAUUGUGAUUACUGAAGCAUAUUUAAUGCUGAUCAUUGGCGGAAGGAAAUUUUCAGGGAAUCUCAGUGAUUAAAAAGAGUCUUUAAUGGAGUCAGCAUUGAAUUACAUCCAUUAUUUAACUAAGAACCUGAAUUUUAAUAUCAAUAAUUACCGAACAAGUAAUCCAUGGUAAAAUUGAUUCAUCUUUGAUCAACUUUCUAUUACUGGUUCUCCUCAUUGUAACAUGAUUUUUCUUGCUUUUUCAUUAUGAAUUUGAGUCUUUGAAAGGUAAACUGAUGGUGACAUUUUGAUCUGGAAUCAUUUUAAUAUCCAACAUUAAAAAGUCAAUAUUUUACUUUCAUAAAUAUCGUCGAUA
Tetranychus urticae (two-spotted spider mite) is the source of this 2944-nucleotide long non-coding RNA. RefSeq lists it as uncharacterized. The record is from RefSeq and is a predicted model, not a curated record. Lineage: Eukaryota; Metazoa; Arthropoda; Arachnida; Trombidiformes; Tetranychidae.